AAGUGCUGUCGGGACGCACCGUUCCCGGAGGCUCCUGCGCUGCCAACAUCCCUCCCUCCGCCAGACCGGCCUCAGGUCCAGUACCGGCUCAUCUAUCACGAGGCUGGAAAGAGACGUGGUGAGAAGCGGAGAUUAUUUGUUGAUGAGCCACAGCCUGUGACUCCCGCGAACCGACCCGUUCAGCCCACUGGGUUGUCGUCCUCCACCCGGCCGAAGCCUGCUGCGCUCACCCCCAUUCUGCCGAGGCCUUCUGCGCCCACCCACCUCCAGCCGAGGCCACCCGCUGCGUUGACCUACGGCCCACCCCCUGUGUCGGCAGCACCCAUACUGCAGGUCUUCCCCGCACAGCCACAGGCGCCCUCCGUCCUGUUUCGUGGGACAUCCUGCAGCCAGAGCUUUGUCCCUCCUGCACCAACAGUGAAGGCAUUCAUGCCUAACAAGUCCUCAAGGCCAUGUGGAGCUUGCCACAUGCCAAACUGUGGUGGACAGUGGAAGAGGUACAACCCUUUCAAGGACAAAGUGGCUGGAAGCAUUCAGAAAAUGUUUUCCUACUGUCCAUCCACUAGGAAGUCCACUACCCCUGGCUUCGACAAUGUGGUGUAUGACAACUUUGAACUCUUUAAGAGUGUCGUGGAUGCAGAGUUGGAAAGGAGGUGUGUGUGUGUGUGUGUGUGUGUGUGUGUGUGUGUGUGUGUGUGUGUGUGUGUGGUGUGUUUGUGAAUAACUUACUCUGUGAUGCCACUGUUCCUGUGCCAUCUGUAAGAGAGAGAAAGAGGCUUGUUUGUGUGUGUUUGUCUCUGUCUUUGUGUGGGUUAUUAAAGUGCUUCAGCAAGCACUAUCUAUUUAUUUAUAUCGUUCAAAAAAUGCAAAAAAACUUAUAAAAACUUUGUAGUAUCCAUUCUGGUCUAUUUUCAAUAUCAAGGCCAAUCUUUUUAACCUUAAUCAGUUCCAAUCUAACACAAUCAGUUUACAUACCCUUUAGUGGUUGUUCAUGUUCAGAUAAUCUGUGUUUUUGUCAUGCAUGUUGUUUGUCUUUGUCAGCUUCAUGUGUUUGUGAUGUUGUAUGUAUUUGUCUGCUUCAGUUUUAACAAAAGUUUGCUAAAGAAAACACAAAAAAACACAAAAGGGAGGAACAGCUUGAGCCUUUAUUUGUUGAUUGGUCACCUGAGUCUUUGGAUAAUCAUGUUCAUUAUUGCACUUUAGCCUGUACAAGCCAAUUGUUGAGUUGUAUCUUAAAGGGGUAGUUCGGAAUUUUGGACAUAGGGCCUGAUUCCGAAGUGAGCAUUGGUAUUCUAUAUCACUGGAGACAGUUUUCAACACAUUUCAUUCAGUCCUUCUAGUUGCAGAGUUCGCUCGUGCUAGGCUAGCGCAAGUCAACGGGCAAUGCUAGCCUGCAAUUAAAAACAGUCUUACCCACUCCACAGUACACCCGAGGUAAAUCAAUUAUAACGACAGACUAUACAUCUAAAUGUCUGUUUAUAGAAUAAUGUUAGAAAUAAAACCAACCUUGCAUUGCAUUGCAUUUUGAGGGAAUUGCGGGGUCUCAGCAGCAGUGUUUAUAUUCCUGUACGUAGGCUACGGCAGCGGCGGACUGAUACCUAGGUUACCUGCGCUGUCAUUGCUACAAACGCAGAGUACAGUGAACGAAGGAAUUCUACAGCGUAUUAAAUUAACAAGAUAUGGCCACGUUUGGAGGAGUUUAGCGAUGCAUCUGCUUUUGAAGACGAUUAUGAGGAAUUUGUUGUAUACAACGAACGUACAUGUACGAGCCGGUGUUUUGAUGUCAAAGCCAGCAGCAACAAGCCACAGUUGAGUCCUUUCUGGAUCUCGCACUGGAAAUUGGUGGAAACUUUGUGGUGCCCAUCUGUACCGUUUAUUUCUACAAUUUCUAAAAGCACACUGAACCAUCAUGUUGCCUAGUCGUUCAAUUGCGCUUCUGUCCCACGCUUCUCUGUUUACGUUCUUCUGUCGUGAUUCGGUUACAAACCUAACCAGCGCAUAGUAGAAUUCCGCUUCUGCUGAGAAAGUAGUCCCUCGAUGAUUCAUGCGAUGCAUGGUUAGUUUAUUUCUAACGUUAUUCUAUCAACACAGACAUUUAGAUGUAUAGUCUGUCGUUAUAAUUGAUUUACCUCGGGUGUACUGUGGAGUGGGUAAGACUGCUUUUAAUAGCAGGCUAGCAUUGCCCGUUGACUUGCGCUAGCCUAGCACGAGCGAACUCUGCAACUAGAAGAACUGAAUGAAAUGUGUUGAAAACUGUCUCCAGUGAUAUAGAAUACCAAUGCUCACUUCGGAAUCAGGCCCUAUGUCCAAAAUUCCGAACUACCCCUUUAAGUACAAGUGUGUGUUCUUCAAUUGUUGAGAUUUUUGCAUUAUUAUUAAUGUUAUUUAUAUGUGCCUUUCCUUUGAUGUGUGCAUGUCUGUCAGCUCCAUGUUUAACUAAAUGUUUGCAAAUGGUCAGUACAUGUUUGUCUCUCGUCUCAUGCUCUCGUGUCUUCGCCUGUAGAUCUGUACCUUGUUGUGGUGGGCGAGCUUUUAAUUAAACAGAUCUUGUUUACUUGUGUUUUUAUAUGCAUUGCCUUUUCAAUGAAACCCAUUCUGGGUGAAAAAUAAAAGUUGUAAAAGAAUUUGAGUCUCUGUGUGCUUGGCUUUCACAAGGGGUGGGGUAGUGGAAAGAAAAACACACCAAAGAAAUUAGAAGUCCUUGUGUCUUCUCUCCCGCAACCAGAGGUGUGAAUACACCCCCACUUUGCUGGCUGCACUCCCUGUGUGGUCAAAAUAAUGAGUUCUGUGAAUGGCUCUGUCAUCCAGACAAAGUGAGUGCACUGGAUACAUUCUUAUUAUUUUUCUUAAUUCAGCCCAAAAAUGUAACAAUUAAACACUUUUCCACUUGAUAAUAUGAAUCUCAUCAGCUACAUCAACUCAAAGUAUGAAAAUAAUAAACAAAACAUUCAGCAGACUAGCGGAUUUUGAUAAUCUAGGCCUUGCACAUAAUAUUUCUGGAAAUAAAACCUCCCACCGGUGGCCACCACAUGGAGCCGUCCGUUUGCUUCCCCGAUCCUUUAUGAGCGAUCCCUGGGUUGAGGGAUAGGGACUUUGGGGGGUCAUCAGCCAUUCCCAGGGGGUCACCCAUCCAAGUACUAACCAGGCCGGACCCUGCUUAGCCCUCCGAGAUCAGACGAGAUCGGGCGUGCUCAGGGUGGUAUGGCCGUAACAAGAAUUGUCGGGACCAUAUUUAGUAUUUAUACAAGAGGAGCACGUAAGGAGUGAGAGUUCUACCAUGGCCAGAGACGGGACUUGUACAGAAACAAUGAUUGGAUCCAUAAUGAAUGAAAGAAAUGAAUGAAUGAAUGAAUGAAUGAAUGAAUGAAUGAAUGAAUGAAUGAAUGAAUGAAUGAAUGCAUGAAUGAAUGCGUUAUUCCAGACUCAGAGUUCCAUAUUUGAACGCAAUGCAUUACACUGCUUGGGCUCAUCGUUUGCGUG
Molecule: long non-coding RNA, 3480 nt
Organism: Gadus morhua (Atlantic cod)
Lineage: Eukaryota; Metazoa; Chordata; Actinopteri; Gadiformes; Gadidae
Source: Ensembl